UGAGGAAUAUUGGUCAAUGGGCGCGAGCCUGAACCAGCCAAGUCGCGUGAGGGAUGACGGCCCUACGGGUUGUAAACCUCUUUUGUCGGGGAGCAAAUUCCGCCACGUGUGGCGGAGUCGAGAGUACCCGAAGAAAAAGCAUCGGCUAACUCCGUGCCAGCAGCCGCGGUAAUACGGAGGAUGCGAGCGUUAUCCGGAUUUAUUGGGUUUAAAGGGUGCGUAGGCGGACUGUCAAGUCAGCGGUAAGAUACGGGGGCUCAACCUCCGCCCGCCGUUGAAACUGACGGUCUUGAGUGGGCGAGAAGUAUGCGGAAUGCGUGGUGUAGCGGUGAAAUGCAUAGAUAUCACGCAGAACUCCGAUUGCGAAGGCAGCAUACCGGCGCCCAACUGACGCUGAAGCUCGAAAGUGUGGGUAUCGAACAGGAUUAGAUACC
RNAcentral lists this ribosomal RNA (434 nucleotides) under uncultured bacterium. Its description in RNAcentral is "bacterial SSU rRNA". It matches the Rfam family "Bacterial small subunit ribosomal RNA", at positions 355 to 786 of the family's 1533-position model. The record is from RNAcentral.